CGAACACAAAGAAUUCCCACGCAUGUAUUUAUCGCUUGUGCAAUCAUGUGGCAAUAAUGACGAUAUUUAAAAAACCUUGAACUAUCCGAACUGCUCUUAGUACUCUGAUGAAGGUUGCAGUUAGCAACCGAAAAUUUAGAACUUUUUAGACUUUUUAUUGUACAUAUUCUAGUAUUUUAAAAAGAAUUUUAGACCAGCUUCAAC
Non-coding RNA from Paramuricea clavata, 204 nucleotides. The record is from the annotation of a GenBank genome assembly. Lineage: Eukaryota; Metazoa; Cnidaria; Anthozoa; Malacalcyonacea; Plexauridae.